This 341-nucleotide ribosomal RNA is filed under the name uncultured bacterium. RNAcentral describes it as "bacterial SSU rRNA". It matches the Rfam family "Bacterial small subunit ribosomal RNA", at positions 1 to 334 of the family's 1533-position model. The record is from RNAcentral.
CACGUACUAUCAGAGUUUGAUCCUGGCUCAGGAUGAACGCUAGCUACAGGCUUAACACAUGCAAGUCGAGGGGUUUCAAAGGAGCUUGCUUCUUUGGAACGACCGGCGCACGGGUGAGUAACGCGUAUCCAACCUGCCCUUCAUAUUGGUAUAGCCUCCCGAAAGGGAGAUUAAUCCCGAAUAACAUAUUUUGGUUUCCUGAUCAGAAUAUGAAAGCUCCGGCGAUGAAGGAUGGGGAUGCGUUCCAUUAGGUAGUAGGCGGGGUAACGGCCCACCUAGCCGACGAUGGAUAGGGGUUCUGAGAGGAAGGUCCCCCACACUGGAACUGAGACACGGUCCAG